Molecule: non-coding RNA, 74 nt
Organism: Chlamydoabsidia padenii
Lineage: Eukaryota; Fungi; Mucoromycota; Mucoromycetes; Mucorales; Cunninghamellaceae
Source: the annotation of a GenBank genome assembly
GUCACUUUGGUGUAGUCGGUUAUCACGCAUGCUUCACACGCAUGAGGUCGCAGGUUCGAAUCCUGCAAGUGACA